Molecule: ribosomal RNA, 2256 nt
Filed under: Salmonella enterica subsp. enterica serovar Enteritidis
Lineage: Bacteria; Pseudomonadati; Pseudomonadota; Gammaproteobacteria; Enterobacterales; Enterobacteriaceae
Description: partial 23S ribosomal RNA
Rfam family: Bacterial large subunit ribosomal RNA
Source: RNAcentral
AGACCCGAAACCCGGUGAUCUAGCCAUGGGCAGGUUGAAGGUUGGGUAACACUAACUGGAGGACCGAACCGACUAAUGUUGAAAAAUUAGCGGAUGACCUGUGGCUGGGGGUGAAAGGCCAAUCAAACCGGGAGAUAGCUGGUUCUCCCCGAAAGCUAUUUAGGUAGCGCCUCGUGAACUCAUCUCCGGGGGUAGAGCACUGUUUCGGCUAGGGGGCCAUCCCGGCUUACCAACCCGAUGCAAACUGCGAAUACCGGAGAAUGUUAUCACGGGAGACACACGGCGGGUGCUAACGUCCGUCGUGAAGAGGGAAACAACCCAGACCGCCAGCUAAGGUCCCAAAGUCAUGGUUAAGUGGGAAACGAUGUGGGAAGGCCCAGACAGCCAGGAUGUUGGCUUAGAAGCAGCCAUCAUUUAAAGAAAGCGUAAUAGCUCACUGGUCGAGUCGGCCUGCGCGGAAGAUGUAACGGGGCUAAACCAUGCACCGAAGCUGCGGCAGCGACGCUGAUGCGUUGUUGGGUAGGGGAGCGUUCUGUAAGCCUGCGAAGGUGGCCUGUGAGGGUUGCUGGAGGUAUCAGAAGUGCGAAUGCUGACAUAAGUAACGAUAAAGCGGGUGAAAAGCCCGCUCGCCGGAAGACCAAGGGUUCCUGUCCAACGUUAAUCGGGGCAGGGUGAGUCGACCCCUAAGGCGAGGCCGAAAGGCGUAGUCGAUGGGAAACGGGUUAAUAUUCCCGUACUUGGUGUUACUGCGAAGGGGGGACGGAGAAGGCUAUGUUGGCCGGGCGACGGUUGUCCCGGUUUAAGCGUGUAGGUGUGUGUUCCAGGUAAAUCCGGUUCACUUUAACACUGAGGCGUGAUGACGAGGCACUACGGUGCUGAAGCAACAAAUGCCCUGCUUCCAGGAAAAGCCUCUAAGCAUCAGGUAACAUCAAAUCGUACCCCAAACCGACACAGGUGGUCAGGUAGAGAAUACCAAGGCGCUUGAGAGAACUCGGGUGAAGGAACUAGGCAAAAUGGUGCCGUAACUUCGGGAGAAGGCACGCUGACACGUAGGUGAAGUGAUUUACUCACGGAGCUGAAGUCAGUCGAAGAUACCAGCUGGCUGCAACUGUUUAUUAAAAACACAGCACUGUGCAAACACGAAAGUGGACGUAUACGGUGUGACGCCUGCCCGGUGCCGGAAGGUUAAUUGAUGGGGUCAGCGCAAGCGAAGCUCCUGAUCGAAGCCCCGGUAAACGGCGGCCGUAACUAUAACGGUCCUAAGGUAGCGAAAUUCCUUGUCGGGUAAGUUCCGACCUGCACGAAUGGCGUAAUGAUGGCCAGGCUGUCUCCACCCGAGACUCAGUGAAAUUGAACUCGCUGUGAAGAUGCAGUGUACCCGCGGCAAGACGGAAAGACCCCGUGAACCUUUACUAUAGCUUGACACUGAACAUUGAGCCUUGAUGUGUAGGAUAGGUGGGAGGCUUUGAAGCGUGGACGCCAGUCUGCGUGGAGCCGACCUUGAAAUACCACCCUUUAAUGUUUGAUGUUCUAACGUGGACCCGUAAUCCGGGUUGCGGACAGUGUCUGGUGGGUAGUUUGACUGGGGCGGUCUCCUCCUAAAGAGUAACGGAGGAGCACGAAGGUUGGCUAAUCCUGGUCGGACAUCAGGAGGUUAGUGCAAUGGCAUAAGCCAGCUUGACUGCGAGCGUGACGGCGCGAGCAGGUGCGAAAGCAGGUCAUAGUGAUCCGGUGGUUCUGAAUGGAAGGGCCAUCGCUCAACGGAUAAAAGGUACUCCGGGGAUAACAGGCUGAUACCGCCCAAGAGUUCAUAUCGACGGCGGUGUUUGGCACCUCGAUGUCGGCUCAUCACAUCCUGGGGCUGAAGUAGGUCCCAAGGGUAUGGCUGUUCGCCAUUUAAAGUGGUACGCGAGCUGGGUUUAGAACGUCGUGAGACAGUUCGGUCCCUAUCUGCCGUGGGCGCUGGAGAACUGAGGGGGGCUGCUCCUAGUACGAGAGGACCGGAGUGGACGCAUCACUGGUGUUCGGGUUGUCAUGCCAAUGGCACUGCCCGGUAGCUAAAUGCGGAAGAGAUAAGUGCUGAAAGCAUCUAAGCACGAAACUUGCCCCGAGAUGAGUUCUCCCUGAGACUUUAGGUCUCCUGAAGGAACGUUGAAGACGACGACGUUGAUAGGCCGGGUGUGUAAGCGCAGCGAUGCGUUGAGCUAACCGGUACUAAUGAACCGUGAGGCUUAACCUUACAACGCCGAAGCUGUU